UCGAAAAAAUUGAAGCUAUAAUUCCAAAAAAGAUAUUAUUAGAAUCUUGAUUAUGUUUAGCUCAGAGCCAAUAUCUAGAGAAAUGGAUAAGUUGAAUAGUUUCUUUUUUUCCGGUGGUGGUGGGGGUUCUUCAAGCUUCAAAAAUGGUGAAGGAAUGGAGUCUGAGUUCUUUAGGAGCAAAGAAAUGAUGGGUUCUGAUUUUUUUCAGCAACAGUCACAGUUUCAGCAGAGUAAUUCCGGUGGGUUAACGAGGUACAGGUCAGCUCCAAGUUCGUUUUUCGCCGGAAUUCUUGACGGAGACGGGAAUAAUUCCGGUGAAAAUUUCAUUACCGGUGAUGGGUCUUCGAGUUCUGAUUCGGAUUCCAUGUUCACCGCCUUAUUGAACAAUAACGACACCACCAACAACAAUGGUACUCGAGAUAUGAAUGAUCAAAACCAGAAGAAUCAGCUUCAGUUUGGUACUUCUUUGAAACAGGAGAUUGGUGAGGAGAUUGAAUUUGGGAAUGAAAAUGGUGUACAAAAUAGAUAUGAGAACGGUGGUGUUUCUUAUAGUGUAGGGGUGCAAAUGCAAACUAGAGCAAAUUUGAGUAAUGGAAAUGGUGACUCUGAUCUCAUCAGACAAAACAGUUCACCUGCUGGAUUCUUCAAUGGAUUUAUGAGAGAAGUUGGGAAUUUCGGAGCAAGUGUUGGGACUAACAGGGAAGCAAGUACAUCAACUAAUGGUUUCAACAAUCAUAUAAGUUACUCAACUAAUCAAUCAUCUACCUCAAACUUCAUGCCUAGCAUUGCUGAGAAUGAAUCUUGGAACGACGCGUCGUUUAAUUCCUUGAAGAGAAAUAGAGAUGGUGAUCUGAAAAUGUUCUCUACUAAUUUCAAUGGAAUGACUAAUCAGAAUGACGAAUCAAGAAACUACACUUCUUCUGGUUUAUCUCAUCAUUUAAGCUUGCCUAAGACAUCUUCUGAGAUGGCUGCCAUAGAGAAAUACCUACAGUUCCAACAAGAUUCAGUGCCUUGCAAAAUACGUGCUAAACGAGGCUGUGCUACGCACCCACGAAGUAUUGCAGAAAGGAUGAGACGUACUCGGAUUAGUGAAAGAAUGAAAAAACUGCAAGAUCUUUUCCCAAAUAUGGACAAGCAAACAAACACAGCUGAUAUGUUAGAUUUGGCAGUUGAUUACAUUAAAGACCUUCAGAAACAAGUCCAGACACUGACCGAUAAAAAGGCGAAAUGCUCGUGUACAAGUAAGCAGCUGCAAUAUUCAAAUGGAACAACAUGAAAUAGUCUUGUGUACAGAUAGUAAUAGGUGAAGUUAGAUGGAAAAGGAGAGUAAAUAAACUCUCUUUCUACCCUAAUAUGCUGGAAAUAUGGUUCUACUUUGUUUUUAUUUUGCAACAAGGCAAGUGUAGUUUUCAAUGUAUUAUUGAGUUUGAUUAGAUCUAAUAACAGUCUAGUGAGUACAAUCUAGAUGUAUAGGAGCACAUGAUUAUUGUAUUAUGCUGUUGUUUAUUGGAAUUUAACUAUGUUAUUAGUUGAUUCAAAACUUUAUAAG
This 1549-nucleotide unclassified non-coding RNA is filed under the name Hevea brasiliensis (rubber tree). The record is from RNAcentral. Lineage: Eukaryota; Viridiplantae; Streptophyta; Magnoliopsida; Malpighiales; Euphorbiaceae.